Molecule: ribosomal RNA, 215 nt
Filed under: uncultured bacterium
Lineage: Bacteria
Description: partial 16S ribosomal RNA
Rfam family: Bacterial small subunit ribosomal RNA
Source: RNAcentral
AAGCCGUUCUCGGUUCGGAUCGGAGUCUGCAACCCGACUCCGUGAAGCUGGAUUCGCUAGUAAUCGCGCAUCAGCCAUGGCGCGGUGAAUACGUUUCCCGGGCCUUGUACACACCGCCCGUCAAGCCAUGGAAGCCGGGGGCGCUUGAAGUGCGUUGCCGCAAGGCGCGCCCUAGAGCGAAACCGGUGACUGGGGCUAAGUCGUAACAAGGUAGC